Molecule: ribosomal RNA, 502 nt
Filed under: uncultured bacterium
Lineage: Bacteria
Description: bacterial SSU rRNA
Rfam family: Bacterial small subunit ribosomal RNA
Source: RNAcentral
AUGGCUCAGGAUGAACGCUGGCGGCGUGCCUAAUACAUGCAAGUGAAACGGGUAUCUUCGGAUACCAGUCGCGGACGGGUGAGUAAUACAUAGGCAACCUGCCUUUAUGAGGGGGGAUAACCGAGGGAAACUUUGGCUAAUACCGCAUGAAGACUCUAAGGCAUCUUAGAGGGAUAAAAGUUGGGAAACAACGCAUGAAGAUGGGCUUAUGGCGCAUUAGCUAGUUGGUGAGAUAGAAGCCCACCAAGGUAAUGAUGCGUAGCCGACCUGAGAGGGUGAACGGCCACAUUGGGACUGAGACACGGCCCAAACUCCUACGGGAGGCAGCAGUAGGGAAUUUUCGGCAAUGGGGGGAACCCUGACCGAGCAACGCCGCGUGAAAGGAAGAAGGUUUUCGGAUUGUAAACUUCUGUUAUAAGGGAAGAACGGAUUGGAUAGGGAAUGAUCUGAUAGUGACGGUACCUUAUUAGAAAGCCACGGCUAACUACGUGCCAGCAGCCGC